This 269-nucleotide ribosomal RNA is filed under the name uncultured prokaryote. Its description in RNAcentral is "partial 16S ribosomal RNA". It matches the Rfam family "Bacterial small subunit ribosomal RNA", at positions 524 to 792 of the family's 1533-position model. The record is from RNAcentral.
UACGUAGGGUGCGAGCGUUAAUCGGAAUUACUGGGCGUAAAGCGUGCACAGGCGGUUUGCUAAGACAGGUGUGAAAUCCCCGGGCUUAACCUGGGAACUGCGCUUGUGACUGGCAGGCUAGAGUACGGUAGAGGGGGGUGGAAUUCCUGGUGUAGCAGUGAAAUGCGUAGAUAUCAGGAGGAACACCGAUGGCGAAGGCAGCCCCCUGGGCCUGUACUGACGCUCAUGCACGAAAGCGUGGGGAGCAAACAGGAUUAGAUACCCGCGUA